GACGAACCGUGCGAACGUUGUUCGGAAUCACUGGGCUUAAAGGGCGCGUAGGCGGGCUGCCAAGUCUGAGGUGAAAUCCCACGGCUCAACCGUGGAACUGCCUUGGAUACUGGCGGCCUCGAGGGAGGUAGGGGCAUGCGGAACUAUGCGUGGAGCGGUGAAAUGCGUUGAUAUGCAUAGGAACUCCGGUGGCGAAGGCGGCGUGCUGGACCUCAUCUGACGCUGAGGCGCGAAAGCCAGGGGAGCGAACGGG
RNAcentral lists this ribosomal RNA (253 nucleotides) under uncultured bacterium. RNAcentral describes it as "partial 16S ribosomal RNA". It matches the Rfam family "Bacterial small subunit ribosomal RNA", at positions 524 to 776 of the family's 1533-position model. The record is from RNAcentral.